GUGGGGAAUAUUGGACAAUGGGGGGAACCCUGAUCCAGCCAUGCCGCGUGUGUGAAGAAGGCCUUUUGGUUGUAAAGCACUUUAAGCGAGGAGGAGGCUACCGAGAUUAAUACUCUUGGAUAGUGGACGUUACUCGCAGAAUAAGCACCGGCUAACUCUGUGCCAGCAGCCGCGGUAAUACAGAGGGUGCAAGCGUUAAUCGGAUUUACUGGGCGUAAAGCGCGCGUAGGUGGCCAAUUAAGUCAAAUGUGAAAUCCACGAGCUUAACUUGGGAAUUGCAUUCGAUACUGGUUGGCUAGAGUAUGGGAGAGGAUGGUAGAAUUCCAGGUGUAGCGGUGAAAUGCGUAGAGAUCUGGAGGAAUACCGAUGGCGAAGGCAGCCAUCUGGCCUAAUACUGACACUGAGGUGCGAAAGCAUGGGGAGCAAACAGGAUUAGAUACCCCUGUAGUCC
RNAcentral lists this ribosomal RNA (451 nucleotides) under uncultured bacterium. RNAcentral describes it as "partial 16S ribosomal RNA". It matches the Rfam family "Bacterial small subunit ribosomal RNA", at positions 354 to 796 of the family's 1533-position model. The record is from RNAcentral.